AUGGAAGACGACUUCGAGAAAGGCACCGGGCCCAAGCGGUUUCGGUACAGUGAUCUUGCCGUCGCCACCAGCAACUUCUCUGACGAGAAGAAGCUGGGCGAAGGUGGCUUCGGUUCCGUGUACAAAGGAUUCUUGAAAGAGCUUAAAGUUGAGGUGGCUAUAAAAAGAGUGUCCAAGACCUCCAAGCAGGGGAGGAAGGAGUACAUCUCAGAGGUGAAGAUCAUAAGCCGGCUGAGACAUCGAAACCUGGUGCAGCUCAUUGGCUGGUGCCAUGGCGGUGGCGAGCUCUUGCUUGUCUAUGAUCUUAUGCCCCACGGCAGCCUAGAUACUCACCUUUACAGUUCAAACACCAUAUUAUCGUGGCCACUCAAGUAUGAGAUCGUGCUGGGGUUAGGGUCUGCACUUUUGUACCUACACCAGGACUGGGAGCAAUGUGUUCUACACCGUGACGUCAAGCCAAGCAACAUCAUGCUGGACGCGUCGUUCUGCGCCAAACUUGGUGAUUUUGGGCUCGCGCGGCUUGUCGACCACGACCGAGGACCAUACACAACUGGUAUUGCAGGAACAAUGGGCUACAUGGACCCUGAGUGCAUGGUCACGGGAAGGACAAGCGCCGAGUCUGAUGUCUACAGCUUCGGCGUAGUCAUGCUUGAGAUCGCCUGCGGCAAGCGGCCCGCUGUUGCUCGGGAACGAGAAGACAUCAUUCAUCUGGUGCAAUGGGUCUGGGAUUCAUGGGAGCGCGGAAGGACCCUUGCCGCGGCCGAUGCGCAGCUCAACCUGGAGUUUGACGACUGGGAGAUGGAGUGCAUGAUGGCGGUUGGGCUCUGGUGCGCGCACCUUGACAAGAACCUGAGACCAUCCAUCAAGCAAGCGGUCAGCAUGCUACGAUUUGAGGCGCCUCCGCCAAGCCUUCCAGCAAAGAUGCCCAUCGCGACAUUUACGGCGACGAUUGAUUCUUCAUUAGUUUCUGCAUCUCAACUUACAGGCGGCAGAUGA
RNAcentral lists this ribosomal RNA (996 nucleotides) under Triticum aestivum (bread wheat). RNAcentral describes it as "partial small subunit ribosomal RNA". The record is from RNAcentral. Lineage: Eukaryota; Viridiplantae; Streptophyta; Magnoliopsida; Poales; Poaceae.